CCUACGGGGGGCAGCAGUGGGGGAUAUUGGACAAUGGGGGGAACCCUGAUCCAGCGACGCCGCGUGAGUGAAGAAGUAUUUCGGUAUGUAAAGCUCUGUCAGCAGGGAAGAAAGAAAUGACGGUACCUGACCAAGAAGCCCCGGCUAACUACGUGCCAGCAGCGGCGGUAAUACGUAGGGGGCAAGCGUUAUCCGGAAUUACUGGGUGUAAAGGGAGAGUAGACGGUUAAGUAAGUCAGAAGUGAAGACCCAGGGCUCAACCUUGGGACUGCCUUUGAAACUGAGUAGCUAGAGUGCAGGGGAGGUAAGCGGAAUUCCUAGUGUAGCGGUGAAAUGCGUAGAUAUUAGGAGGAACACCAGUGGCGAAGGCGGCUUACUGGACUGUAACUGACGUUGAGGCUCGAAAGCGUGGGGAGCAAACAGGAUUAGAUACCCUUGUAGUC
RNAcentral lists this ribosomal RNA (443 nucleotides) under uncultured bacterium. Its description in RNAcentral is "partial 16S ribosomal RNA". It matches the Rfam family "Bacterial small subunit ribosomal RNA", at positions 338 to 795 of the family's 1533-position model. The record is from RNAcentral.